This 612-nucleotide long non-coding RNA is filed under the name Rattus norvegicus (Norway rat). Its description in RNAcentral is "long non-coding RNA NONRATT029933". The record is from RNAcentral. Lineage: Eukaryota; Metazoa; Chordata; Mammalia; Rodentia; Muridae.
AACGAGCUGAUCCACAAGGAGAACACUGACGCACCAACUAACAGAGCUUCAGGGUAGUAAGGGAAAAGCUGCCAGACCUGGAAGAACCAGGGAAAAGCUGCCAGACCUGGAAGAACCACUCGAAAAUGUUUUCAAUAAUUUACACAACAGUUUGAAGAGAAAAUCGGCAACAGUGUGGAGAAUUUGCACAAUACUUCCAACAAAUCGGGAUGGAAGCUUUGACUUAACUGUGUCUGCUGUCCUCUUCAUUCGGCUGAGUUCGUCCUAAGUCACACCGACCUGCAUUUCAUGAGCGACUAGACCACUAGUCAUACAACAAUACCAACCUCCUUUGGAUCCUGGCCAGGGCUGUGUGGAUUCUCUCCCUGUACCGCUUGCACUUCUCCUUGGUGAUGUUGACGUGGAUCAAGCUCCCAUCCUUCCAGGGGACGUGGAUGAAUCUGUUGCAGUAUUUGGCAUGGAUAGUCUUCUUAUUGGUGUCCUGAGGGAAGGACAAAGUUGGGGGCUAGAGCGGGUCCUUAGAAACUCCCUUUGCUAAAACCAAAUAAAGACGACGCCUUGCUUGGGCUCCCAAGGUAACUAAAAACGGAAUAAAAUCUGCACAUCUCUGCC